GACGAACGCGGGCGGCGUGCUUAACACAUGCAAGUCGAGCGGAAAGGCCCUUUCGGGGGUACUCGAGCGGCGAACGGGUGAGUAACACGUGAGUAAUCUGCCCCUGGCUUUGGGAUAGCCACCGGAAACGGGGAUUAAUACCGGAUACGACCACUUCUCGCAUGGGAUGGUGGUGGAGAGUUUUUCGGCCAGGGAUGUGCUCGCGGCCUAUCAGCUUGAUGGCGAGGUAAUGGCUCACCAUGGCUUCGACGGGUAGCCGGCCUGAGAGGGUGACUGGUCACACUGGGACUGGGACACGGCCCAGACUCCUUCGGGGGGCAGCAGUGGUGAAUAUUGGACAAUGGGCGGAAGCCUGAUCCAGCAACGCCGCGUGAGGGAUGACGGCCUUCGGGUUGUAAACCUCUUUCAGCAGGGACGAAGCGCAAGUGACGGUACCUGCAGAAGAAGCACCGGCCAACUACGUGCCAGCCGCCGCCGUAA
RNAcentral lists this ribosomal RNA (480 nucleotides) under uncultured bacterium. RNAcentral describes it as "partial 16S ribosomal RNA". It matches the Rfam family "Bacterial small subunit ribosomal RNA", at positions 28 to 523 of the family's 1533-position model. The record is from RNAcentral.